This 376-nucleotide ribosomal RNA is filed under the name uncultured organism. Its description in RNAcentral is "partial 16S ribosomal RNA". It matches the Rfam family "Bacterial small subunit ribosomal RNA", at positions 527 to 896 of the family's 1533-position model. The record is from RNAcentral.
GUAGGUGGCAAGCGUUGUCCGGGAAUUAUUGGGCGUAAAGCGCGCGCAGGUGGUUCUUUAAGUCUGAUGUGAAAGCCCCCCGGGCUCAACCGGGGGAGGGUCAUUGGAAACUGGGGAACUUGAGUGCAGGAGAGGAAAGUGGAAUUCCACGUGUAGCGGUGAAAUGCGUAGAUAUGUGGAGGAACACCAGUGGCGAAGGCGACUUUCUGGCCUGUAACUGACACUGAGGCGCGAAAGCGUGGAGAGCAAACAGGAUUAGAUACCCUGGUAGUCCACGCCGUAAACGAUGAGUGCUAAGUGUUGGGGGGUUUCCGCCCCUCAGUGCUGCAGCUAACGCAUUAAGCACUCCGCCUGGGGAGUACGGUCGCAAAGACUG